CAGCGGCGUAAGGGACAGGAAUACGUAGACAACCUACCCUCGGGACCUGAAUAGCUGCGGGAAACUGCAGGUAAUGCGGGAUAACGUCUCCGGACCAAAGGUGUGAGUCCGCCGGAGGAUGGGUCUGCGUCCUAUUAGCUAGUUGGUGAGGUAAUGGCUCACCAAGGCAAUGAUGGGUAGCAGGUGUGAGAGCACGACCUGCGUCACUGGGACUGAGACACUGCCCAGACACCUACGGGUGGCUGCAGUCGAGGAUUUUCGUCAAUGGGCGCAAGCCUGAACGAGCGACGCCGCGUGCGGGAUGAAGGCCUUCGGGUUGUAAACCGCAGUCAGUGGGGAGGAAAUGCAUGUGGGUACUCCCACAUGUUUGACUAAUCCGCAGAGGAAGUGUGGGCUAAGCUCGUGCCAGCAGCCGCGGUAAGACGAGCCACACAAACGUUAUUCGGAAUCACUGGGCUUAAAGGGUGCGUAGGCUGUGCAGAAAGUUGGGUGUGAAAUCCGACAGCUUAACUAUCGAAGUGCACUCAAUACUACUGUGCUAGAGGAAGACAGAGGUAAGCGGAACUGAGGGUGGAGCGGUGAAAUGCGUUGAUAUCCUCAGGAACACCGGUGGCGAAGGCGGCUUACUGGGUCUUUUCUGACGCUGAGGCACGAAAGCUAGGGGAGCGAACGGGAUUAGAUACCCCGGUAGUCCUAGCCGUAAACAAUGAGCACUGGAUUGAAGGGUCCUCCAUAGCCUUUCAGUCGUAGCGAAAGUGUUAAGUGCUCCGCCUGGGGAGUAUGGUCGCAAGGCUGAAACUCAAAGAAAUUGACGGGGGCUCACACAAGCGGUGGAGGAUGUGGCUUAAUUCGAGGCUACGCGAAGAACCUUACCUGGCCUUGACAUGCAGAUGGUAGAAGCCUGAAAGGGUGACGAUCCCGCAAGGGAAGUCUGCACAGGUGCUGCAUGGCUGUCGUCAGCUCGUGUCGUGAGAUGUCGGGUUAAGUCCCGCAACGAGCGCAACCCCUGUGUCCUGUUGCCACCGAGAUGAGAGUCUCGAGCACUCUGGACAGACUGCCCCGUCCAAGCGGGGAGGAAGGUGGGGAUGACGUCAAGUCAGUAUGGCCCUUACGGCCAGGGCUGCACACGUACUACAAUGCCCGGUACAAAGGGAAGCAAGGCGGCAACGCGGAGCAAAUCCUGAAAACCGGGCCCAGUUCAGAUUGUCGGCUGCAACUCGCCGGCAUGAAGCUGGAAUCGCUAGUAAUGGCGCAUCAGCUACGGCGCCGUGAAUACGUUCCCAGGCCUUGUACACACCGCCCGUCACAUCAUGAAAGCCGGCUGUACCCGAAGUCGCCGCGCCAACUGCAAAGAGGCAGGCGCCGAAGGUAUGGCUGGUGAUUGGGAUGAAGUCGUAACAAGGUA
This 1405-nucleotide ribosomal RNA is filed under the name metagenome. RNAcentral's name for it is "bacterial SSU rRNA". It matches the Rfam family "Bacterial small subunit ribosomal RNA". The record is from RNAcentral.